CCUGGGGUGGUGCAAUGGCAGCACGGCGCCCUGACGAGCUCGUAGAUCCUGGUUCGAUUCUGGGUCCCAGGA
RNAcentral lists this transfer RNA (72 nucleotides) under Penicillium roqueforti FM164. RNAcentral describes it as "tRNA-Val (GAC) (tRNA-Val-GAC-1-1)". It matches the Rfam family "tRNA". From Rfam's summary of the family: Transfer RNA (tRNA) molecules are approximately 80 nucleotides in length. The record is from RNAcentral. Lineage: Eukaryota; Fungi; Ascomycota; Eurotiomycetes; Eurotiales; Aspergillaceae.